Long non-coding RNA from Lycium ferocissimum, 1621 nucleotides. RefSeq lists it as uncharacterized. The transcript is spliced from 2 exons. NCBI's taxonomy places the organism in Eukaryota, Viridiplantae, Streptophyta, Magnoliopsida, Solanales, Solanaceae. The record is from RefSeq and is a predicted model, not a curated record.
AUAGAAUUAAAAGAGACUUUUGAGUUAUCUAUUUGAGGAUUUAGGACACAAGUUUUAAAAAUUGGGUAAAAGGGACUCUAGUAUAAUUAGGUAUUAAUGGGGUUAUGCUCAUUUAAAAAAGAAAAUUUUUAUACACCCCAAAGUUUUGCUAUUUACAAAUAGGCCCAACAUAUAAGAGGGUUUUUUAGCCAAAAGGGCAACAAAAAAUUUCCAUUGUCAGCUCAUUUUUUCAGCGGGAGUAGCCCUCCCCACAUUCAUCUUCAUCUUCUUCCACAUCUUUUUUUUUUUUCAAUCUCAACACAUUCCAGCCUUCCAAACACCUUGCUCUCUUCAAACUAGGGUUAAAUUUAUCUUCAUUGAACAAAAAUGAAAUCUGCAUUUGCCUUCUUCUUCAUCACUAAACCAAAGAUUUUUUAAUUUGUGUUACUUCUCUGUUCUUGAUAGUAAUUUGUUAAUACAUUGUUUGGGAAUUUGCUUCAAAGGGGAUAAACAGUUCAUCUCAGUGAUUUAAGGUAAUAAUUUAACGUUCUUCAUCAUUUUCUAAAUUAAACAUUCUGUUCUUCUAUAUUUUGUUUAAACAACUGCAUGUUGUUUAAACAACUAGAUGGUGUUUACACAUAUGACCUGCAUUGCACAUGGUGUUUACAUAAAUAUCAUAUAUUUUUUAAAAUCUCCAUGUAGUGUUUACACUAAAAACCUGCACAUCCUAAUGUAUUUAAAUAUUCAUAUGUAGUUUAAACAACUGCAUGGUAUUUAUGUUAAGAGUUUGCACUGCACAUGCAGGCUCCAUGUAAACAGCCAAACUUUGUUUAAACAACCACAAGUUGUUUAAACUGCGAACCUGCAUAUAAAUUCUCUAUGUAUAAAUACUGUACUGACUAUAAUACUAUCACAAAUUCUAAUAUGUAUCUAUGUAAUAUCCGCAAGUGUUGUGACAAUUAAUGGAGGACAAAAUACUAUUAGCAGUUGAUCUACAUGGUGAAUGGAUAGAGACCGAUGAGCGUUAUAGUUGGAAGUCGAAGGGUGGUCUUACAGUACCGAUACUAGUGAGGAGGGAUGUUACGUAUGAUGAGUUUGUUGAUAUCGUCAUUACUAGGUGUAAGUUAUGUUGUGCGCCGAAGGAUCUCUCAAUCACUUACAUGCUCAGCAUUGUUGCAACGGAAAAAACACAUUUUUCUGAAAUAAAGGAUGAUGAUGAUUUGCUCACUUAUUUAGCUGAUGUUGACAAAGAUGGUCGUCGUUGGCCCAUUCUAAGGGUAAAUGCGGUUGAAAUUGGGCCGAUAGAAGUUCCAUAAUCUGGAGAAGCAAUUGGAGUGUUCCCUGGACUUGCUAGUAAUACAGUAGGGCAAGAAGAAGCUGGAAAUUUUUCUGGAUUUGAUUACAAUACAGCGAGGGUAGAAGCUACUUCAGAGUUUCCAGAUUUUGAUUACAAUACCGCAGGGGUAGAAGGGGCAAAAGAAAAUACAUAUUCUUCUAUUAAUCUGUCCAGUACACAGGGGGUUGAGGGCUCAACACAAUGUAGCCACAGUCGUGAAGACGGCACAGGAUUUUUCUCGGGUCUAACUUUCAAGAAGAAGCAAGAAUUGAAAAUCCUAUUGAACCUUGCUGCCGUGAAGAAUAA